This is a non-coding RNA of Monodelphis domestica (gray short-tailed opossum), 975 nucleotides long. The record is from RefSeq and is a predicted model, not a curated record. NCBI's taxonomy places the organism in Eukaryota, Metazoa, Chordata, Mammalia, Didelphimorphia, Didelphidae.
UAUUCCCCAAAGGUAGUUCAGUCACCCAGAAUAUCAGGUCCACUAAAAGCAUCAUUCCCUCCCCCCCACACACACAAUGCAUUGUAUUUUACAAGUGUUUUCCCACCCUGAAUGAACUAUCCUUUAGACCAUCUUUAGGAAUGAGGCAAAUUUCCUGAAUCAGAAGGAAUAAUACAAGACAAGUAAAAGAAGACAAAACAGAACCACAGAGGAGGGUGAAGGACAGGAAAGAAAAAUUGAGACGUAUGUUCCAAAGAAUUUACAUGAAUCAGGGUCACCUAUCUGAGCAGCCAACUGACUGGGCUCUGCAGUUCCUCUACUGCCCUUCUGCUCCCAAAGAAGCCAGAGAGAGCAGAGGACAAACACAACCAACAUGACAUUUAUUUGGAUUCUCUCUGAUUAGGGGUUCAUCAUUUCUUGUUCUCCAGUGAAAUUGUUGGCUUCUGAGCCUGAGGCUUACUUGCUAUUUGUUGCACAGUUAUUAUUUUAAUGCCCCAAUUUACAGAGAUGGAAUUACCUAAUCUCCAAAAAGGGUGCAUUAAUAAAGCAAUUCUAUAGAAUUUUCUCUGAAAUCCUUCACAAAACACAAUUUUUUUUAGUUCAUUUUGAUUUCACAAACUUGAUAAGGCGUGGAGGUAUUGCCAAAGUCAAUAUAUUAUGUUUGUGUGGAUGGGGGUAAGUUGGUAGCAGUAAUGAGAUUUUUACACCUCAUGUCUAGAGUCAUUACAGUGAAUACUAUUAGAGAACAGCUACUCCAGGUAUCUGGUUUAAAUAACCAUCUCCAACAUUUAAAAGCAAGAAGUUAAUAGCAGGGCUGCUCAGCAGUGUUAGCUCUGCCCUUUUCAUUAUAAUUUUCAGAGGGAGACUUCAGAUCAACUCAAUAAUGCUUCCCUUUAUUAUAAUUUUGUUUUUAGCUAUUUAGGCAAAGGUAUCUAGAGACCUUCAAGCAUGGGCAGCCACAAACUCAAAUAGGUU